This 355-nucleotide unclassified non-coding RNA is filed under the name soil metagenome. RNAcentral's name for it is "partial contains 5.8S ribosomal RNA, internal transcribed spacer 2, and large subunit ribosomal RNA". The stretch from base 1 to 120 matches the Rfam family "5.8S ribosomal RNA", at positions 35 to 154 of the family's 154-position model. The record is from RNAcentral.
GAUGAAGAACGUAGCGAAAUGCGAUAAGUAAUGUGAAUUGCAGAAUUCAGUGAAUCAUCGAAUCUUUGAACUCACAUUGCGCCCAUUAGUAUUCUAGUGGGCAUGCCUGUUCGAGCGUCAUUAAGUCCACUUAAGCCCUGCUUAGUGUUGGGAGACUGCUCCAGCGGUGCUACCCUGUAGCUACCCUGCAGCUCCUCAAAGACAGCGGCGGAGUUGUGGUAUCCUCUGAGCUUAGUAACUUGUUCUAGCUUUCGAGUACACCACUUCCCCUGCCGUAAAACCCUUAAUUUUUAAUGGUUGACCUCGGAUCAGGUAGGAAUACCCGCUGAACUUAAGCAUAUCAAUAAGCGGAGGA